GAUGAACGCUGGCGGCGUGCCUAAUACAUGCAAGUCGAGCGAACGGACGAGAAGCUUGCUUCUCUGAUGUUAGCGGCGGACGGGUGAGUAACACGUGGAUAACCUACCUAUAAGACUGGGAUAACUUCGGGAAACCGGAGCUAAUACCGGAUAAUAUUUUGAACCGCAUGGUUCAAAAGUGAAAGACGGUCUUGCUGUCACUUAUAGAUGGAUCCGCGCUGCAUUAGCUAGUUGGUAAGGUAACGGCUUACCAAGGCAACGAUGCAUAGCCGACCUGAGAGGGUGAUCGGCCACACUGGAACUGAGACACGGUCCAGACUCCUACGGGAGGCAGCAGUAGGGAAUCUUCCGCAAUGGGCGAAAGCCUGACGGAGCAACGCCGCGUGAGUGAUGAAGGUCUUCGGAUCGUAAAACUCUGUUAUUAGGGAAGAACAUAUGUGUAAGUAACUGUGCACAUCUUGACGGUACCUAAUCAGAAAGCCACGGCUAACUACGUGCCAGCAGCCGCGGUAAUACGUAGGUGGCAAGCGUUAUCCGGAAUUAUUGGGCGUAAAGCGCGCGUAGGCGGUUUUUUAAGUCUGAUGUGAAAGCCCACGGCUCAACCGUGGAGGGUCAUUGGAAACUGGAAAACUUGAGUGCAGAAGAGGAAAGUGGAAUUCCAUGUGUAGCGGUGAAAUGCGCAGAGAUAUGGAGGAACACCAGUGGCGAAGGCGACUUCCUGGUCUGUAACUGACGCUGAUGUGCGAAAGCGUGGGGAUCAAACAGGAUUAGAUACCCUGGUAGUCCACGCCGUAAACGAUGAGUGCUAAGUGUUAGGGGGUUUCCGCCCCUUAGUGCUGCAGCUAACGCAUUAAGCACUCCGCCUGGGGAGUACGACCGCAAGGUUGAAACUCAAAGGAAUUGACGGGGACCCGCACAAGCGGUGGAGCAUGUGGUUUAAUUCGAAGCAACGCGAAGAACCUUACCAAAUCUUGACAUCCUUUGACAACUCUAGAGAUAGAGCUUUCCCCUUCGGGGGACAAAGUGACAGGUGGUGCAUGGUUGUCGUCAGCUCGUGUCGUGAGAUGUUGGGUUAAGUCCCGCAACGAGCGCAACCCUUAAGCUUAGUUGCCAUCAUUAAGUUGGGCACUCUAAGUUGACUGCCGGUGACAAACCGGAGGAAGGUGGGGAUGACGUCAAAUCAUCAUGCCCCUUAUGAUUUGGGCUACACACGUGCUACAAUGGACAAUACAAAGGGCAGCGAAACCGCGAGGUCAAGCAAAUCCCAUAAAGUUGUUCUCAGUUCGGAUUGUAGUCUGCAACUCGACUACAUGAAGCUGGAAUCGCUAGUAAUCGUAGAUCAGCAUGCUACGGUGAAUACGUUCCCGGGUCU
This 1372-nucleotide ribosomal RNA is filed under the name uncultured bacterium. Its description in RNAcentral is "bacterial SSU rRNA". It matches the Rfam family "Bacterial small subunit ribosomal RNA", at positions 28 to 1381 of the family's 1533-position model. The record is from RNAcentral.